RNAcentral lists this small nuclear RNA (110 nucleotides) under Carlito syrichta (Philippine tarsier). The record is from RNAcentral. Lineage: Eukaryota; Metazoa; Chordata; Mammalia; Primates; Tarsiidae.
GUGCUUGCUUUAGCAGCACAUAUUAAACUAAAAUCGGAACGAUACAGACAAGACUAGCAUGGCCCCUGUGCAAGAAUGACACGCAAAUUCAUGAUGCGUUCCAUAUUUUU